UUGGCCCUUCGGUUUAUCAUGUAAUUUUGUUAUAUUGAGUACUUGUUUCUUUGGAAUCUGAUUUUAGCUAGGAUAGAUAAUAGAGAUGUAGAGCCAAUGCUUCAUUUGGCAGGAAGGAAUUAAGGAAACAUACUGGAAGCUUACAACAUGACCUACACGAAGACUGGGACAUCUUCUAGGAAAGCCAUCAGUUCAGAUUGGGGUUUCACAGAACUGAUGGAAUUUGAAGUGCAUGUGAGCUAGCUUGGAUAUCAAAAUGGACCUACCACAACACAUACACUUGCCAUAUCCAAAUUAGAUGCUUUACAAAAAAAGACCACCACUUGUCACUGAGAAAUUACAUAUACUCAACUUGCUUGUUUUCUAUGCAUCAUGCGUUGCAAAAUGCCAUAUAAGUGAGAACUGUAUUUAAGUCGUCGAAGUGUGUAGCAAAGGACAAA
This 440-nucleotide long non-coding RNA is filed under the name Musa acuminata (dwarf banana). RNAcentral's name for it is "long non-coding RNA (MACU_LNC007320)". Lineage: Eukaryota; Viridiplantae; Streptophyta; Magnoliopsida; Zingiberales; Musaceae. The record is from RNAcentral.